This is a non-coding RNA of Cinara cedri, 395 nucleotides long. Lineage: Eukaryota; Metazoa; Arthropoda; Insecta; Hemiptera; Aphididae. The record is from the annotation of a GenBank genome assembly.
UACAUUAUACGUGGCAAUGAGGUAUAGACGAAAAUAUUAAAAAGCAAUAUAUUAACAAUGAAACUUAUAAACACGGGAAAUAUUAUAAUAAUUAAAUAUUAUUAUUAUAAUUCUUGGUUACUGGUUAUAUUUGUCAGAAAAAUACAAGAAUACAAUAAUAUCCUAAUUUUAAAUUCCAUUAGAAUAUUUUCCAAGCAUAUGACUAAAUAUUUUUAUUUUCUCGUAAACUAUUGUUCCUAUUAUAAUUUGCCUGUAUUCUACUUUACAGUAAUUCAUCAUUCCUUUAAAUAAUUGUCUUAAUUUAUAUAACCCCACCCCUCAUAUACAAUGAUGGACACGAUGACUACAAUAUGUCUUGCUAACACCAUAAUAUGUAAACUCACAUUUUUAACUUU